GCCUGGGUAGCUCAAGCAGUAGAGUGUGGGACUCUUGAUCUCAGGGUCAUGGGUUCAAGCCCCAUGUUGGGCA
This 73-nucleotide transfer RNA is filed under the name Heterocephalus glaber (naked mole-rat). It matches the Rfam family "tRNA". Rfam says of the family: Transfer RNA (tRNA) molecules are approximately 80 nucleotides in length. Their secondary structure includes four short double-helical elements and three loops (D, anti-codon, and T loops). Further hydrogen bonds mediate the characteristic L-shaped molecular structure. tRNAs have two regions of fundamental functional importance: the anti-codon, which is responsible for specific mRNA codon recognition, and the 3' end, to which the tRNAs corresponding amino acid is attached (by aminoacyl-tRNA synthetases). tRNAs cope with the degeneracy of the genetic code in two manners: having more than one tRNA (with a specific anti-codon) for a particular amino acid; and 'wobble' base-pairing, i.e. permitting non-standard base-pairing at the 3rd anti-codon position. The record is from Rfam by way of RNAcentral. Lineage: Eukaryota; Metazoa; Chordata; Mammalia; Rodentia; Bathyergidae.